This 515-nucleotide ribosomal RNA is filed under the name uncultured bacterium. RNAcentral describes it as "bacterial SSU rRNA". It matches the Rfam family "Bacterial small subunit ribosomal RNA", at positions 9 to 517 of the family's 1533-position model. The record is from RNAcentral.
GAGUUUGAUCGUGGCUCAGAUUGAACGCUGGCGGCAGGCCUAACACAUGCAAGUCGAGCGGUAGAGAGAAGCUUGCUUCUCUUGAGAGCGGCGGACGGGUGAGUAAUGCCUAGGAAUCUGCCUGGUAGUGGGGGAUAACGCUCGGAAACGGACGCUAAUACCGCAUACGUCCUACGGGAGAAAGCAGGGGACCUUCGGGCCUUGCGCUAUCAGAUGAGCCUAGGUCGGAUUAGCUAGUUGGUGAGGUAAUGGCUCACCAAGGCGACGAUCCGUAACUGGUCUGAGAGGAUGAUCAGUCACACUGGAACUGAGACACGGUCCAGACUCCUACGGGAGGCAGCAGUGGGGAAUAUUGGACAAUGGGCGAAAGCCUGAUCCAGCCAUGCCGCGUGUGUGAAGAAGGGUCUUCGGAUUGUAAAGCACUUUAAGUUGGGAGGAAGGGCAGUAAAUUAAUAACUUUGCUGUUUUGACGUUACCGACAGAAUAAGCACCGGCUAACUCUGUGCCAGCCGCCG